Molecule: non-coding RNA, 572 nt
Organism: Pelobates cultripes (western spadefoot toad)
Lineage: Eukaryota; Metazoa; Chordata; Amphibia; Anura; Pelobatidae
Source: the annotation of a GenBank genome assembly
GUGGAGUGUGUAGGGGAUGUGUUAUGUGUUACUGUAGAGGAUCUAAUGCGUGUGCUUAUGGAAUGUAGUGUAUAGGGAUACCAGUUUGUGUAAGUGAUGCAGUGUGUUUGUGUGUAGUGGAAGCAGUGUGUUUUUGUGUAAGGGAUAGAAAGCAGUGAGUGUUUGUGUAUAAGGGAUGUAUUGUGUGUUUCUUGUUGUGUGUAAGGGAUGCAUUGUGUGAAUCUGUGUUUGUAUGUAUAAGGGAUGCAAAGUGUGUUUCUGUGUAUGUAAGGGAUGCAAAGUGUGUUUCUGUGUAUGUAAGGGAUGCAGUGUGUUUCUGUGUAUGUAAAGGGUGCAGUGUGUGUGUCUGUAAGGGGUGCGAUGACUGUGUGUAAGAGAUGCAUUGUGUUUCUGUGUGUGUGUAGGAGAAGCAGUGUGUGUUUGCAUGUGUGUGUAAGGGAUGCAUUGUGUGUUUCUGUGUAUAUGUGCAAAGGAUGCAUUGUCUUUAUAUGUAAGGGUUGCAUUGUGUGUUUCUCUGUGUGUAAGGGAAGCAUGUUGUGUUUCUGUGUGUAUAGGGAUGCAUUAUGUGUAUG